Cryptotermes secundus is the source of this 382-nucleotide long non-coding RNA. RefSeq lists it as uncharacterized. The transcript has 3 exons. The record is from RefSeq and is a predicted model, not a curated record. NCBI's taxonomy places the organism in Eukaryota, Metazoa, Arthropoda, Insecta, Blattodea, Kalotermitidae.
CAGGAAUCGAACCCGGACCUCUGGAUCUGUAGCCAGGAACGCUGACCACUAGACCACAGAGGCCUAUCAGUAACAACAAAUGAGUUUGAUGGCAUCGCUGUGGAGAAUUACAGUUCUUGAUGGUGAUGAUGUUGAAGAUGAACAAUUCAGCCAGCUGAAGCAAGGAGGUCCUGCGUGGACAGUCGCUUUUGAGUGAGUUUUUUGCAAAUUGAAAAUUGAGGCCCCACUUCCCUUCUACAUUUCUUCCAUCUACAGGGAGGGCAUGUCGCCGGGCGCCAGCAGCGAGGAGUCCAUGAAGCAAAGUCAUCAUCUUGCACUUCACUUCUUCCAACAUCAAUCUGGCCACCAGGUUGUCAAGAGUUCUGUCCAUGGUCGCCGCUGA